AUAGGGGAGCCGUAGGGAAACCGAGUCUUAACUGGGCGAAUGAGUUGCAGGGUAUAGACCCGAAACCCGGUGAUCUAUCCAUGGGCAGGUUGAAGGUUGGGUAACACUAACUGGAGGACCGAACCGACUAAUGUUGAAAAAUUAGCGGAUGACUUGUGGAUGGGGGUGAAAGGCCAAUCAAACCGGGAGAUAGCUGGUUCUCCCCGAAAGCUAUUUAGGUAGCGCCUCGUGAAUUCAUCUUCGGGGGUAGAGCACUGUUUCGACUAGGGGGUCAUCCCGACUUACCAACUCGAUGCAAACUGCGAAUACCGAAGAAUGUUAUCACGGGAGACACACGGCGGGUGCUAACGUCCGUCGUGAAGAGGGAAACAACCCAGACCGCCAGCUAAGGUCCCAAAGUCAUGGUUAAGUGGGAAACGAAGUGGGAAGGCUCAGACAGCCAGGAUGUUGGCUUAGAAGCAGCCAUCAUUUAAAGAAAGCGUAAUAGCUCACUGGUCGAGUCGGCCCGCGCGGAAGAUGUAACGGGGCUAAACCAUGCACCGAAGCUGCGGCAGCGACACAAAGUGUUGUUGGGUAGGGGAGCGUUCUGUAAGCCUGCGAAGGUGUACUGUGAGGUAUGCUGGAGGUAUCAGAAGUGCGAAUGCUGACAUAAGUAACGAUAAUGCGGGUGAAAAACCCGCACGCCGGAAGACCAAGGGUUCCUGUCCAACGUUAAUCGGGGCAGGGUGAGUCGACCCCUAAGGCGAGGCUGAAAAGCGUAGUCGAUGGGAAACGGGUUAAUAUUCCCGUACUGGUGGUAACUGCGAUGGGGGAACGGAGAAGGCUAGGUUGUCCGGGCGACGGUCGUCCCGGUUCAAGCAGGUAGGCAGAGUGAUUAGGCAAAUCCGGUCACUUAAUGCUGAGAUGUGAUGACGAACCACCAAGGUGGUGAAGCAAUUGAUGCCCCGCUUCCAGGAAAAGCCUCUAAGCUUCAGGUUACCAACAAUCGUACCCCAAACCGACACAGGUGGUCAGGUAGAGAAUACUCAGGCGCUUGAGAGAACUCGGGUGAAGGAACUAGGCAAAAUGGUGCCGUAACUUCGGGAGAAGGCACGCUGGCGGUAGGUAAAGUCCCUCGCGGACGGCGCUGAAGCCAGUCGAAGAUACCAGCUGGCUGCAACUGUUUAUUAAAAACACAGCACUGUGCAAACACGAAAGUGGACGUAUACGGUGUGACGCCUGCCCGGUGCUGGAAGGUUAAUUGAUGGGGUUAGCGCAAGCGAAGCUCCUGAUCGAAGCCCCAGUAAACGGCGGCCGUAACUAUAACGGUCCUAAGGUAGCGAAAUUCCUUGUCGGGUAAGUUCCGACCUGCACGAAUGGCGUAAUGAUGGCCAGGCUGUCUCCACCCGAGACUCAGUGAAAUUGAACUCGCUGUGAAGAUGCAGUGUACCCGCGGCAAGACGGAAAGACCCCGUGAACCUUUACUAUAGCUUGACACUGAACAUUGAGCCUUGAUGUGUAGGAUAGGUGGGAGGCUUUGAAGUGUGGACGCCAGUCUGCAUGGAGCCAACCUUGAAAUACCACCCUUUAACGUUUGAUGUUCUAACCUAGGCCCAUAAACUGGGUCGGGGACCGUGUCUGGUGGGUAGUUUGACUGGGGCGGUCUCCUCCUAAAGAGUAACGGAGGAGCACGAAGGUUGGCUAAGCAUGGUCGGACAUCAUGCGGUUAGUGCAAAGGCAUAAGCCAGCUUGACUGCGAGAGUGACGGCUCGAGCAGGUACGAAAGUAGGUCUUAGUGAUCCGGUGGUUCUGAAUGGAAGGGCCAUCGCUCAACGGAUAAAAGGUACUCCGGGGAUAACAGGCUGAUACCGCCCAAGAGUUCAUAUCGACGGCGGUGUUUGGCACCUCGAUGUCGGCUCAUCACAUCCUGGGGCUGAAGUAGGUCCCAAGGGUAUGGCUGUUCGCCAUUUAAAGUGGUACGCGAGCUGGGUUUAGAACGUCGUGAGACAGUUCGGUCCCUAUCUGCCGUGGGCGUUGGAAGAUUGAGAGGGGUUGCUCCUAGUACGAGAGGACCGGAGUGAACGCACCACUGGUGUUCGGGUUGUCAUGCCAAUGGCAUUGCCCGGUAGCUAAGUGCGGAAGAGAUAACCGCUGAAAGCAUCUAAGCGGGAAACUUGCCUCGAGAUGAGUCUUCCCUGUCGCUUUAAGCGACCUAAAGGAACGUUUAAGACUAAGACGUUGAUAGGCUGGGUGUGUAAGCGUAGCGAUACGUUGAGCUAACCAGUACUAAUGAACCGUGAGGCUUAACCUG
RNAcentral lists this ribosomal RNA (2290 nucleotides) under Proteus mirabilis. Its description in RNAcentral is "partial 23S ribosomal RNA". It matches the Rfam family "Bacterial large subunit ribosomal RNA", at positions 657 to 2925 of the family's 2925-position model. The record is from RNAcentral. Lineage: Bacteria; Pseudomonadati; Pseudomonadota; Gammaproteobacteria; Enterobacterales; Morganellaceae.